UCAUUUAGAGGAAGUAAAAGUCGUAACAAGGUUUCCGUAGGCGAACCUGCGGAAGGAUCAUUACAAGUGAGGCUACCGAACGCUGGAAACAGCGGUUAGGAGCUUACACCCACCCGUGUUUACAUACUAUUGUUGCUUUGGCGGGCCCGUGGCCUCCACUGCGGGCUCUGCUCGUGUGUGCCCGCCAGAGGACCAAACUCUGAAUGUUAGUGAUGUCUGAGUACUAUCUAAUAGUUAAAACUUUCAACAACGGAUCUCUUGGUUCUGGCAUCGAUGAAGAACGCAGCGAAAUGCGAUAAGUAAUGUGAAUUGCAGAAUUCAGUGAAUCAUCGAAUCUUUGAACGCACAUUGCGCCCUUUGGUAUUCCGAGGGGCACGCCUGUUCGAGCGUCAUUUAAACCAUCAAGCCUAGCUUGGUCUUGGGCGCGGUCGAGUGACCCGUCCGCAACCCGUUGGCGGCGCAGUCCGGCUUCAAGCGUAGCAAGAAUUUCGCUUCAGGAGUCCGCGGCGGUGCCCGCCAGGUAAUCACAUCCCAAAGUUUGACCUCGGAUCAGGUGAGGAUACCCGCUGAACUUAAGCAUAUCAAU
Molecule: ribosomal RNA, 586 nt
Filed under: uncultured Phialocephala
Lineage: Eukaryota; Fungi; Ascomycota; Leotiomycetes; Helotiales
Description: eukaryotic LSU rRNA
Rfam family: 5.8S ribosomal RNA (bases 239-392)
Source: RNAcentral